GUGACCUCAAAUCAGGUAGGACUACCCGCUGAACUUAAGCAUAUCAAUAAGCGGAGGAAAAGAAACUAACAAGGAUUCCCCUAGUAACUGCGAGUGAAGCGGGAAAAGCUCAAAUUUAAAAUCUGGCAGUUUCUUUUAGCUGUCCGAGUUGUAAUCUAGAGAAGUGUUAUCCGCGCUGGACCGUGUACAAGUCUCCUGGAAUGGAGCAUCAUAGAGGGUGAGAAUCCC
This 228-nucleotide ribosomal RNA is filed under the name uncultured Cortinarius. RNAcentral describes it as "partial 28S ribosomal RNA". It matches the Rfam family "Eukaryotic large subunit ribosomal RNA", at positions 1 to 222 of the family's 3401-position model. The record is from RNAcentral. Lineage: Eukaryota; Fungi; Basidiomycota; Agaricomycetes; Agaricales; Cortinariaceae.